GAUGAACGCUGGCGGCGUGCUUAACACAUGCAAGUCGAACGGUGAAGGCGGAGCUUGAUCUGCUGGAUCAGUGGCGAACGGGUGAGUAACACGUGAGCAAUCUGCCCCUGACUCUGGGAUAAGCGCUGGAAACGGCGUCUAAUACUGGAUACGAGCUGCGAAGGCAUCUUCAGCAGCUGGAAAGAAUUUCGGUCAGGGAUGAGCUCGCGGCCUAUCAGCUUGUUGGUGAGGUAAUGGCUCACCAAGGCGUCGACGGGUAGCCGGCCUGAGAGGGUGACCGGCCACACUGGGACUGAGACACGGCCCAGACUCCUACGGGAGGCAGCAGUGGGGAAUAUUGCACAAUGGGCGAAAGCCUGAUGCAGCAACGCCGCGUGAGGGACGACGGCCUUCGGGUUGUAAACCUCUUUUAGCAGGGAAGAAGCGAAAGUGACGGUACCUGCAGAAAAAGCGCCGGCUAACUACGUG
This 468-nucleotide ribosomal RNA is filed under the name uncultured bacterium. Its description in RNAcentral is "partial 16S ribosomal RNA". It matches the Rfam family "Bacterial small subunit ribosomal RNA", at positions 28 to 507 of the family's 1533-position model. The record is from RNAcentral.